This 1341-nucleotide ribosomal RNA is filed under the name metagenome. RNAcentral's name for it is "bacterial LSU rRNA". It matches the Rfam family "Bacterial large subunit ribosomal RNA", at positions 1564 to 2910 of the family's 2925-position model. The record is from RNAcentral.
UGAAUACGAAAUACUACGGUAUUGAAGUGGUCUAUGUCAUACUUCCAAGAAAAGCUCGAAAUAUCAUAAACAAUAAAUGCCUGUACCUUAAACCGACACAGGUAGGUAGGUAGAGCAUACCAAGGGGCGCGAGAUAACUCUCUCUAAGGAACUCGGCAAAAUAACCUCGUAACUUUGGGAGAAGAGGUACCCUUGCAAAAGGGUUGCAAUAACCAGACCCUGGCGACUGUUUACCAAAAACACAGGUCUCCGCUAAUUCGUAAGAUUAUGUAUGGAGGCUGACGCCUGCCCAGUGCCGGAAGGUUAAAGAAGUUGGUCAAUGCUUGCAUGAAGCUAGCGACUGAAGCCCCGGUGAACGGCGGCCGUAACUAUAACGGUCCUAAGGUAGCGAAGUUCCUUGUCGGGUAAGUUCCGACCCGCACGAAAGGCGUAACGAUCAGGGUGCUGUCUCGGGGAGAGGCUCGGCGAAAUAGACUUGUCUGUGAAGAUGCGGACUACCUGCACCUGGACAGAAAGACCCUAUGAAGCUUUACUGUAUCUUGGAAUUGGGUUGGGCCUUGUUUGCGCAGGAUAGGUGGGAGGCUAUGAAGAUGUUUUUGCGGAAAUGUCGGAGCCAAUGGUGAGAUACCACUCUAGCGAGGCUAAAAUCCUAACUUUGAACCGUUAUCCGGUCGAAGAACAGUUUCAGGUGGGCAGUUUGACUGGGGCGGUCGCCUCCUAAAAGGUAACGGAGGCGUGCAAAGGUUCCCUCAGGCUGGUCGGACAUCAGUCGUAGAGCGUAAAGGCAUAAGGGAGCUUGACUGCGAGACCUACAAGUCGAGCAGAGACGAAAGUCGGCCUUAGUGAUCCGACGGUUCCGAGUGGAAGGGCCGUCGCUCAACGGAUAAAAGUUACUCUAGGGAUAACAGGCUGAUCUCCCCCAAGAGUUCAUAUCGACGGGGAGGUUUGGCACCUCGAUGUCGGCUCAUCGCAUCCUGGGGCGGUAGUACGUCCCAAGGGUUGGGCUGUUCGCCCAUGAAAGCGGUACGCGAGCUGGGUUCAGAACGUCGUGAGACAGUUCGGUCCAUAUCCGGUGCAGGCGUUAGAGUAUUGAGAGGAGUCUCCCUUAGUACGAGAGGACCGGGGAGAAUACACCGCUGGUGUACCAGUUAUCGUGCCAACGGUACACGCUGGGUAGCCAAGUGUAGUGUGGAUAACUGCUGAAAGCAUCUAAGUAGGAAGCCCACCUCAAGAUGAGUACUCUCAUCUCUUUAAGAGAGUAAGAUCACGGCGAGAACAGCCGUUAUAUAGGCGUCAAGUGUAAGUGCAGUAAUGUAUUCAGCUGAGAUGUACUAACAGAUC